GGUCUCCCUCUCCCGUGCUUGCUUCCAAGUUCCAUUUAAGAGUAUUAAGCGAGAGAUACGAAGAGACAACUCUGCAGCUAGGAAGGAAUUCAAGAUCAUACCCAUCUUCCCUUUCCUUUUUCACAGACAUGCAUACCGACUUUGAAGGUUUUUUGUUCUGAGAGUUUCUGUCUUCGUUCGUACAUUCUCAACUCAUUUUGGCCAACAGGGCUAAGAGUGAUCAGCAGUUCCAACUUCACAUCGAUUUACUAUGGCUUUUGGGGGAGUUGAGGUGAAGCCUGGGCAAUGUGUCCUUUCUAACUCAAAUGGUAAAAGACUUUGAAUUACUCAGGCGUCUUUGGGGAUUGGCAAUGCGACGGAAAAGACCAUUGUCCAAUGUAGUGUUGGGAGGAAGAGGAGACCAAUUAUCCUGUGUGCUUUGGUACCAUGUAAAGUUGAGUCAUGCCGUUUGGAGUUGGAGACAUUGAUGAAAAUGAGACAUAGCGAGCUACCAGUUUCGCCACCUUCCCCGAUAAGAAAAAAGAAGACUAAGGAACCUAGGUUCAAACGGCUCAAGAAGAAGUUUGAUGUUGAGUUUGAUCAAAAUGAUGUGUUGAUCGAGAGCAAAAAUGAAGUUGUUGGUAGCCAUGACUGUGAACUGAAGGAAAACGAAGAUGUAAUUGAGGCAAGUUGUCAACAACGAAGGUAAUAUGGAUAACUGAUUAUAACUUUGUAAUAAGUUUCUUAUGUGGAUUAUUUUUCUUAAAUUUAUCUUCUUUGUUCAAAAACAAUAAUUUCUUUAACUUUUUCAUGUUCCAUUUCGAAUCACAUUCAACAACUUCUUAUUUAUUGGUGCAUCUUAAUUUUCUUUUUGAAUUAUUCACACAAGAUGGAAAGUUGCAGUAUGAGUUUAAUCCUUAUUGAGAUGUAUUUUGUAUUAUGAUAGAGAUACAAAAAUAAGUGAAGAGAAAGAAAUUUCUCAAGA
Molecule: non-coding RNA, 964 nt
Organism: Sesamum indicum (sesame)
Lineage: Eukaryota; Viridiplantae; Streptophyta; Magnoliopsida; Lamiales; Pedaliaceae
Source: RefSeq, a predicted model, not a curated record